AAGGUAUCUGUAGGUGAACCUGCUGAUGGAUCAUCG
Molecule: ribosomal RNA, 36 nt
Filed under: Necator americanus (New World hookworm)
Lineage: Eukaryota; Metazoa; Nematoda; Chromadorea; Rhabditida; Ancylostomatidae
Description: partial 18S ribosomal RNA
Source: RNAcentral